GCCAGACUGCCUGAAUGGUCAGACAGGGAAAAUUCCUCCCCAGAUUGUUUGAUGUAGACCUCUGCUUAAUUUUAUUCUUGGGGCGAUUCUCAUCACAUGUCCAAGCUCUCCAGGUUUUAGCAAACCAGCUGGCAGCUGCUGCAUGUGUGGUGCUGACUGAUAACGAGGUCCCUGCAUGACCCCAAGCCAGAUGAAAGCAACAAUAAACAGGUGGAGUAGGUGGUCACCAGAGAGAGAGAAAUAUGGAACUUGUUUUGGUACUUCUGCUGGAAUUCUGCAGUGAAAUUCUUCUGGGACACCUCACAGAAAGGCUCUGCUUUUUCAGCCCCCAGAAGUUGUGUGCACAUGCACAUGUACAUACCUAAGCUGGAACAGUAAAGUGCAAGAAGGGAAUUUGACUGACAUUCCCCUUGGGAAAGACAUGCAACUUGCAGCACAAGGGGUUAAAAAUAAAAUUCUCAAAGGUCCUAGCAGAAAUGUCCAACAGUGUGGACUGGACUGAGGCUCUAUGUUGGUGCCAAACGAACUGGUUUGAGAGCUCUGACUAGUAACAGAGGCUUCAAAAACUCCCUUCAAGAUACUGAGCUAGUUGACAUGGGCAUAUAUUGUUUCAAGGCUGCAGGGCAGUUUCUCUGUAUGGUCUCAUGUGGCUUGCUUCAUGUUGACUGUAAUAACUUAGGAGACCGUAACACUGCACUGUGUUAUGUGGACAAAUGUUAAGAUACAUCUUUUGAGACUAAUUUAAUCAAUAAGAAGAAAAAAUAAAUCAGAAACCUCUGUGCAAGAGGAGGUGAGACUUUCAGUUCUCUAGGAAAAUUUGUCACUUUGGUGUUUUCACAGUAUGCCUUUAAAUGUCUAAAUGUUAUUUGAAAUGCACUGAAUUUUAAUCCUAGGACCUUAAGAAACUUUACUUAACACUCAUCAAAAGCUCUUACCCAGAUGAAAAAAGAACCCCAUAAUGUUACACCCUCAGAAAAUGGAAUGGUAAAUGGAAAAAAAAAUGUUAAUAUUCAGAAGUAAUGAUCGUUAGCACUGUGCUGACCAAACCCUUACAUGCGAACCUCUAUAUUUAUGUACAACUCCCUCAUAACACACUCACAGGUUCAGGCCCAUGACUAAGUAGCCUCUGAAAAAUAUCAGUACUAAGCAUGUAAACAUAAUGUGGACAUUCUGUC
Long non-coding RNA from Passer domesticus (house sparrow), 1175 nucleotides. RefSeq lists it as uncharacterized. Lineage: Eukaryota; Metazoa; Chordata; Aves; Passeriformes; Passeridae. The record is from RefSeq and is a predicted model, not a curated record. The transcript is spliced from 3 exons.